UGAUGGCAGGUGAAAAAGUUGACAAGCCAGAUACUAAGGAGAAGAAACCCAAAGCUAAGAAGUCUGACGCUGGUAGCAAGGUGAAAAAGGGUACCCUCAAGGCUAAAAAGCCCAAGAGGAGAAAGCCCCAUUGCAGCUGAAACUCUGUCCUUGUCAAAGGAAUUGCCAGAUAUUCCCAAUCUGCUAUGUAUUCCAGAAAGGCCAUGUACAAGAGGAAGUACUCUGCCGCUAAAUCCAAGGUUGAAAAGAAAAAGGAGAAGGUUCUUGCAACUGUUGCAAAACCAAUUGAUGAUAACAAGAAUAGCAGUACCAGGUUGGUUAAACUUCUCAAAGGGCCUAGAUAUUAUCCUACUAAAGAUAUGACUCGAAAGAUUUUGAGCCAUGUCAAAAAUCCCUUCAGUCAGCACGUGAGAAAACUGUGAGCCAGCAUCACCCGUGGGACCAUUCUGAUCAUCCUCACUAGGUGCCACAGAGGCAACAGGGUGGUUUUCUUGAAGUAGCUGGCUAGUGACCUGUUACUUAUGACUGGACCUCUGGUCCUCGAUCGAGUUCCUCUACAAAGAGCACGUUGGAAAUUUGUCAUUGCCACCUCAACCAAAAUUGAUGUCAGCAAUGUGAAAAUCCAAAAACAUCUUACUGACAUUUACUUCAAGAAGAAGAAGCUACAGAAGCCCAGACACCAGGAAGGUGAGAUCUUCAACACAGAAAGAGAGAAAUACGAGAUUACAGAGCAGUGCAAAGUUGAUCGGAAAACUGUGGACUCAAAAAUUUUACCAAACUCAAAGCUAUUCCUCAGCUCCAGGGCUACCUGUGAUCUGUGUUUGCCCUGAUGAAUGGAAUUUAUCCUCACUAAUUAGUGUUCUAA
This 865-nucleotide long non-coding RNA is filed under the name Homo sapiens (human). RNAcentral describes it as "non-protein coding lnc-DIAPH2-5:1". The record is from RNAcentral. Lineage: Eukaryota; Metazoa; Chordata; Mammalia; Primates; Hominidae.